CGUCAAUCCAUGUCAUCAUGUAACAACUCUCCUUGGUCCUGUAACAACUCUCCUUGGUCCUGUAACAACUCUCCUUGGUCCUGUAACAACUCUCCUUGGUCCUGUAACAACUCUCCUUGGUCCUGUAACAACUCUCCUUGGUCCUGUAACAACUCUCCUUGGUCCUGGGUUGGCCUCUAGGUGGCUAUCUUGUCUGGGUUGGCCUCUAGGUGGCUGUCUUGUCUGGGUUGGCCUCUAGGUGGCUGUCUUGUCUGGGUUGGCCUCUAGGUGGCUGUCUUGUCUGGGUUGGCCUCUAGGUGGCUGUCUUGUCUGGGUUGGCCUCUAGGUGGCUGUCUUGUCUGGGUUGGCCUCUAGGUGGCUGUCUUGUCUGGGUUGGCCUCUAGGUGGCUGUCUUGUCUGGGUUGGCCUCUAGGUGGCUGUCUUGUCUGGGUUGGCCUCUAGGUGGCUGUCUUGUCUGGGUUGGCCUCUAGGUGGCUGUCUUGUCUGGGUUGGCCUCUAGGUGG
Long non-coding RNA from Oncorhynchus keta (chum salmon), 503 nucleotides. RefSeq lists it as uncharacterized. The record is from RefSeq and is a predicted model, not a curated record. Lineage: Eukaryota; Metazoa; Chordata; Actinopteri; Salmoniformes; Salmonidae. The transcript has 3 exons.